AGUCGAACGAGAAUCUGCGGAAAGAGGAUUCGUCCAAUUGAAGCAGAGGACAGUGGCGGACGGGUGAGUUACGCGUGAGGAACCUGCCUUUCAGAGGGGGACAACAGUUGGAAACGACUGCUAAUACCGCAUGACACAUCGGAGUCGCAUGGCUCUGAUGUCAAAGAUUUAUCGCUGAAAGAUGGCCUCGCGUCUGAUUAGCUAGUUGGUGAGGUAACGGCCCACCAAGGCGACGAUCAGUAGCCGGACUGAGAGGUUGAACGGCCACAUUGGGACUGAGAUACGGCCCAGACUCCUACGGGAGGCAGCAGUGGGGAAUAUUGGGCAAUGGGCGCAAGCCUGACCCAGCAACGCCGCGUGAAGGAAGAAGGCUUUCGGGUUGUAAACUUCUUUUGUCAGGGACGAGUAGAAGACGGUACCUGACGAAUAAGCCACGGCUAACUACGUGCCAGCAGCCGCGGUAAUACGUAGGUGGCAAGCGUUGUCCGGAUUUACUGGGUGUAAAGGGCGUGUAGCCGGGAGGGCAAGUCAGAUGUGAAAUCCACGGGCUCAACUCGUGAACUGCAUUUGAAACUACUCUUCUCGAGUAUCGGAGAGGCAAUCGGAAUUCCUAGUGUAGCGGUGAAAUGCGUAGAUAUUAGGAGGAGCACCAGUGGCGAAGGCGGAUUGCUGGACGACAACUGACGGUGAGGCGCGAAAGCGUGGGG
Molecule: ribosomal RNA, 707 nt
Filed under: uncultured bacterium
Lineage: Bacteria
Description: bacterial SSU rRNA
Rfam family: Bacterial small subunit ribosomal RNA
Source: RNAcentral